This 176-nucleotide long non-coding RNA is filed under the name Mustela putorius furo (domestic ferret). RNAcentral's name for it is "lncRNA (ENSMPUG00000025612.1)". Lineage: Eukaryota; Metazoa; Chordata; Mammalia; Carnivora; Mustelidae. The record is from RNAcentral.
AGCACAUUUCCUACAGGUUCCUUUUUCUUCCUUCAUACUUGAGUAGAAGAGUGAAUGGAUUGAUGAAUCUGGUACAAAGACAAAUAUGGUCACUUAGGAAAACAAGGACCAUUUAGUUCCUACAUAAUUGAAAUCCAGAAGGACCAACCAUCUUCAGGUAUCAGAAAGCACCCCAG